Molecule: ribosomal RNA, 414 nt
Filed under: uncultured bacterium
Lineage: Bacteria
Description: bacterial SSU rRNA
Rfam family: Bacterial small subunit ribosomal RNA
Source: RNAcentral
UAUUGGUCAAUGGACGCGAGUCUGAACCAGCCAAGUAGCGUGAAGGAGGACUGCCCUAUGGGUUGUAAACUUCUUUUAUAUGGGAAUAAAGUUUUCCACGUGUGGAAUUUUGUAUGUACCAUAUGAAUAAGGAUCGGCUAACUCCGUGCCAGCAGCCGCGGUAAUACGGAGGAUCCGAGCGUUAUCCGGAUUUAUUGGGUUUAAAGGGAGCGUAGGUGGACAGUUAAGUCAGUUGUGAAAGUUUGCGGCUCAACCAUAAAAUUGCCGUUGAAACUGGUUGACUUGAGUAUAUUUGAGGUAGGCGGAAUUCGUGGUGUAGCGGUGAAAUGCUUAGAUAUCACGAAGAACUCCGAUUGCGAAGGCAGCUCACUGGACUGUUGCCUGACACUGAGGCUCGAAAGUGUGGGUAUCAAA